RNAcentral lists this ribosomal RNA (2900 nucleotides) under Klebsiella pneumoniae. Its description in RNAcentral is "bacterial LSU rRNA". It matches the Rfam family "Bacterial large subunit ribosomal RNA". The record is from RNAcentral. Lineage: Bacteria; Pseudomonadati; Pseudomonadota; Gammaproteobacteria; Enterobacterales; Enterobacteriaceae.
UUAAGCGACUAAGCGUACACGGUGGAUGCCCUGGCAGUCAGAGGCGAUGAAGGACGUGCUAAUCUGCGAAAAGCGUCGGUAAGGUGAUAUGAACCGUUAUAACCGGCGAUGUCCGAAUGGGGAAACCCAGUGUGAUUCGUCACACUAUCGUUAACUGAAUACAUAGGUUAACGAGGCGAACCGGGGGAACUGAAACAUCUAAGUACCCCGAGGAAAAGAAAUCAACCGAGAUUCCCCCAGUAGCGGCGAGCGAACGGGGAGCAGCCCAGAGUCUGAAUCAGCUUGUGUGUUAGUGGAACGGUCUGGAAAGUCCGACGGUACAGGGUGAUAGUCCCGUACACCAAAAUGCACAGGCUGUGAACUCGAAGAGUAGGGCGGGACACGUGGUAUCCUGUCUGAAUAUGGGGGGACCAUCCUCCAAGGCUAAAUACUCCUGACUGACCGAUAGUGAACCAGUACCGUGAGGGAAAGGCGAAAAGAACCCCGGCGAGGGGAGUGAAAAAGAACCUGAAACCGUGUACGUACAAGCAGUGGGAGCACCUUCGGGUGUGACUGCGUACCUUUUGUAUAAUGGGUCAGCGACUUAUAUUCUGUAGCAAGGUUAACCGUAUAGGGGAGCCGCAGGGAAACCGAGUCUUAACUGGGCGUUAAGUUGCAGGGUAUAGACCCGAAACCCGGUGAUCUAGCCAUGGGCAGGUUGAAGGUUGGGUAACACUAACUGGAGGACCGAACCGACUAAUGUUGAAAAAUUAGCGGAUGACUUGUGGCUGGGGGUGAAAGGCCAAUCAAACCGGGAGAUAGCUGGUUCUCCCCGAAAGCUAUUUAGGUAGCGCCUCGUGAAUUCAUCUUCGGGGGUAGAGCACUGUUUCGGCUAGGGGGUCAUCCCGACUUACCAACCCGAUGCAAACUACGAAUACCGAAGAAUGUUAUCACGGGAGACACACGGCGGGUGCUAACGUCCGUCGUGAAGAGGGAAACAACCCAGACCGCCAGCUAAGGUCCCAAAGUCAUGGUUAAGUGGGAAACGAUGUGGGAAGGCACAGACAGCCAGGAUGUUGGCUUAGAAGCAGCCAUCAUUUAAAGAAAGCGUAAUAGCUCACUGGUCGAGUCGGCCUGCGCGGAAGAUGUAACGGGGCUAAACCAUGCACCGAAGCUGCGGCAGCGACACUAUGUGUUGUUGGGUAGGGGAGCGUUCUGUAAGCCUGCGAAGGUGACCUGUGAGGGUUGCUGGAGGUAUCAGAAGUGCGAAUGCUGACAUAAGUAACGAUAAAGCGGGUGAAAAGCCCGCUCGCCGGAAGACCAAGGGUUCCUGUCCAACGUUAAUCGGGGCAGGGUGAGUCGACCCCUAAGGCGAGGCCGAAAGGCGUAGUCGAUGGGAAACAGGUUAAUAUUCCUGUACUUGGUGUUACUGCGAAGGGGGGACGGAGAAGGCUAUGUUAGCCGGGCGACGGUUGUCCCGGUUUAAGCAUGUAGGCUGGUUGUCCAGGCAAAUCCGGAUAAUCAAGGCUGAGGUGUGAUGACGAGGCACUACGGUGCUGAAGUAACAAAUGCCCUGCUUCCAGGAAAAGCCUCUAAGCAUCAGGUAACAUCAAAUCGUACCCCAAACCGACACAGGUGGUCAGGUAGAGAAUACCAAGGCGCUUGAGAGAACUCGGGUGAAGGAACUAGGCAAAAUGGUGCCGUAACUUCGGGAGAAGGCACGCUGGUGUGUAGGUGAAGUCCCUGCGGAUGGAGCUGAGACCAGUCGAAGAUACCAGCUGGCUGCAACUGUUUAUUAAAAACACAGCACUGUGCAAACACGAAAGUGGACGUAUACGGUGUGACGCCUGCCCGGUGCCGGAAGGUUAAUUGAUGGGGUUAUCCGUAAGGAGAAGCUCUUGAUCGAAGCCCCGGUAAACGGCGGCCGUAACUAUAACGGUCCUAAGGUAGCGAAAUUCCUUGUCGGGUAAGUUCCGACCUGCACGAAUGGCGUAAUGAUGGCCAGGCUGUCUCCACCCGAGACUCAGUGAAAUUGAACUCGCUGUGAAGAUGCAGUGUACCCGCGGCAAGACGGAAAGACCCCGUGAACCUUUACUAUAGCUUGACACUGAACAUUGAGCCUUGAUGUGUAGGAUAGGUGGGAGGCUUUGAAGCGUGGACGCCAGUCUGCGUGGAGCCAACCUUGAAAUACCACCCUUUAAUGUUUGAUGUUCUAACGUUGGCCCCUUAUCGGGGUUGCGGACAGUGUCUGGUGGGUAGUUUGACUGGGGCGGUCUCCUCCCAAAGCGUAACGGAGGAGCACGAAGGUUAGCUAAUCCUGGUCGGACAUCAGGAGGUUAGUGCAAUGGCAUAAGCUAGCUUGACUGCGAGCGUGACGGCGCGAGCAGGUGCGAAAGCAGGUCAUAGUGAUCCGGUGGUUCUGAAUGGAAGGGCCAUCGCUCAACGGAUAAAAGGUACUCCGGGGAUAACAGGCUGAUACCGCCCAAGAGUUCAUAUCGACGGCGGUGUUUGGCACCUCGAUGUCGGCUCAUCACAUCCUGGGGCUGAAGUAGGUCCCAAGGGUAUGGCUGUUCGCCAUUUAAAGUGGUACGCGAGCUGGGUUUAGAACGUCGUGAGACAGUUCGGUCCCUAUCUGCCGUGGGCGCUGGAGAAUUGAGGGGGGCUGCUCCUAGUACGAGAGGACCGGAGUGGACGCAUCACUGGUGUUCGGGUUGUCAUGCCAAUGGCACUGCCCGGUAGCUAAAUGCGGAAGAGAUAAGUGCUGAAAGCAUCUAAGCACGAAACUUGCCCCGAGAUGAGUUCUCCCUGAGACUUUAAGUCUCCUGAAGGAACGUUGAAGACGACGACGUUGAUAGGCCGGGUGUGUAAGCGCAGCGAUGCGUUGAGCUAACCGGUACUAAUGAACCGUGAGGCUUAACCUU